RNAcentral lists this ribosomal RNA (815 nucleotides) under uncultured bacterium. RNAcentral's name for it is "bacterial SSU rRNA". It matches the Rfam family "Bacterial small subunit ribosomal RNA", at positions 8 to 796 of the family's 1533-position model. The record is from RNAcentral.
AGAGUUUGAUCAUGGCUCAGAACGAACGCUGGCGGCGUGGAUAAGACAUGCAAGUGGGACGCUAAUCAAAGGGUAGCAAUAUUCGUUGGUUGGAGUCGCGUAAGGGUGCGUAACACGUGGGUAAUUUGCCGUGAAGCUCGGAAUAACUUGCCGAAAGGUAAGCUAAUACCGAAUGUGACUUGUGCUGGGCAUCCAGUAUCAGUCAAAGCCGGGGAUCGUAAGACCUGGCACUUCAUGAUAAGCCCGCGGCCUAUCAGCUAGUUGGUGAGGUAACGGCUCACCAAGGCUAAGACGGGUAGCUGGUCUUAGAGGACGACCAGCCACACUGGAACUGAGACACGGUCCAGACACCUACGGGUGGCAGCAGUCGAGAAUUUUUCACAAUGGGCGAAAGCCUGAUGGAGCGACGCCGCGUGGGGGAUGAAUGGCUUCGGCCCGUAAACCCCUGUCAUUCGGGAUCAAAUCUGGCAACCUAACACGUUGUCAGUUGAUAGUACUGAAAGAGGAAGGGACGGCUAACUCUGUGCCAGCAGCCGCGGUAAUACAGAGGUCCCAAGCGUUGUUCGGAUUUACUGGGCGUAAAGGGAGCGUAGGUGGCAUUCUAAGUCUGAUGUGAAAGCUCUGAGCUUAACUCAGAAAUGGCAUUAGAUACUAGUUUGCUUGAGGAUUGGAGGGGAGAUUGGAAUUCUUGGUGUAGCAGUGAAAUGCGUAGAUAUCAAGAGGAACACCAGUGGCGAAGGCGAAUCUCUGGACAAUUCCUGACACUGAUGCUCGAAAGCUAGGGGAGCAAACGGGAUUAGAUACCCUAGUAGUCC